RNAcentral lists this ribosomal RNA (484 nucleotides) under uncultured bacterium. Its description in RNAcentral is "partial 16S ribosomal RNA". The record is from RNAcentral.
GUAGUUAGCCGUGGCUUCCUCCUUAGGUACCGUCAUUAUCGUCCCUAAAGACAGAGCUUUACAAUCCGAAGACCUUCAUCACUCACGCGGCGUUGCUGGGUCAGGCUUGCGCCCAUUGCCCAAUAUUCCCCACUGCUGCCUCCCGCAGGAGUCUGGACCGUAUCUCAGUUCCAGUGUGGCCGAUCAGCCUCUCAGCUCGGCUACCCAUCGUCGACUUGGUGGGCUGUUACUCCGCCAACUAUCUAAUGGGACGCGAACCCCUCUUAUACCGGAUUGCUCCUUUGACCUCAUCCCGAUGCCGGGUCGUGGUCUUAUGCGGUAUUAGCAACCGUUUCCGGUUGUUAUCCCCCUGUACAAGGCAGGUUGUUCACGCGUUACUCACCCGUUUCGCCACUAAGUUAUCAACCGAAAUCAAUAACUCCGUUCGACUUGCAUGUGUUAGGCACGCCGCCAGCGUUCGUCCUGAGCCAGAAUCAAACUCUGA